This 472-nucleotide ribosomal RNA is filed under the name uncultured bacterium. Its description in RNAcentral is "partial 16S ribosomal RNA". It matches the Rfam family "Bacterial small subunit ribosomal RNA", at positions 28 to 507 of the family's 1533-position model. The record is from RNAcentral.
GACGAACGCUGGCGGCGUGCUUAACACAUGCAAGUCGAACGCUGAAGCUUGGUGCUUGCACUGGGUGGAUGAGGGGCGAACGGGUGAGUAAUACGUGAGUAACCUGCCCUUGACUCUGGGAUAAGCCUGGGAAACUGGGUCUAAUACUGGAUACGACAUGUCACCGCAUGGUGGUGUGGGGAAAGGGGUUUACUGGUUUUGGAUGGGCUCACGGCCUAUCAGCUUGUUGGUGGGGUAAUGGCUCACCAAGGCGACGACGGGUAGCCGGCCUGAGAGGGUGACCGGCCACACUGGGACUGAGACACGGCCCAGACUCCUACGGGAGGCAGCAGUGGGGAAUAUUGCACAAUGGGCGGAAGCCUGAUGCAGCGACGCCGCGUGAGGGAUGACGGCCUUCGGGUUGUAAACCUCUUUCAGCACGGAAGAAGCGAAAGUGACGGUACGUGCAGAAGAAGCGCCGGCUAACUACGUG